AUCCUUUGGUAGUUCAUAAGUGUGAUGACUGGGUAUUCAUGCAUAUGUGUGAGAUAUGCCACCCUGGCAG
Molecule: small nucleolar RNA, 70 nt
Organism: Pongo abelii (Sumatran orangutan)
Lineage: Eukaryota; Metazoa; Chordata; Mammalia; Primates; Hominidae
Source: Ensembl